UACGUAGGGUGCGAGCGUUGUCCGGAAUUACUGGGCGUAAAGAGCUCGUAGGCGGUUUGUCGCGUUGUCCGUGAAAACUCACAACUCAAUUGUGGGCGUGCGGGCGAUACGGGCAGACUGGAGUACUGCAGGGGAGACUGGAAUUCCUGGUGUAGCGGUGGAAUGCGCAGAUAUCAGGAGGAACACCGGUGGUGAAGGCGGGUCUCUGGGCAGUAACUGACGCUGAGGAGCGAAAGCGUGGGGAGCGAACAGG
This 253-nucleotide ribosomal RNA is filed under the name uncultured bacterium. Its description in RNAcentral is "partial 16S ribosomal RNA". It matches the Rfam family "Bacterial small subunit ribosomal RNA", at positions 524 to 776 of the family's 1533-position model. The record is from RNAcentral.